GGCUGGUCCGAGUGCAGUGGUGUUUACAACUAAUUGAUCACCACCAGUUACAGAUUCCUUUGUUCCUUCACUCCCACUUCUUCACUUGACUAAUCUAAA
This is an unclassified non-coding RNA of Otolemur garnettii (small-eared galago), 99 nucleotides long. It matches the Rfam family "Y RNA". Rfam says of the family: Y RNAs are components of the Ro ribonucleoprotein particle (Ro RNP), in association with Ro60 and La proteins. The Y RNAs and Ro60 and La proteins are well conserved, but the function of the Ro RNP is not known. The record is from Ensembl. NCBI's taxonomy places the organism in Eukaryota, Metazoa, Chordata, Mammalia, Primates, Galagidae.